UAACAGUACAACAAAUGGUAGAUACAACUGAUUUCUUGUAAUAAAGCACAAUAAUUACAAAGAAAUGAUGGAAUUGAAAAAUGAGACUAAGAGGUAUGAGCUAAAUAUUGUUUAUUAAACACUAGUAUAUUAUAAAUUGUAAGAGAAGAUCUCUCCUUUCCAAAUUAGCUCAUGUUUUGGUUCUAGGAAAUGGUGUUAAGAAGGGAGGUUGUGUCAAGGUGACCAAUCAAUUGAGAAUUUGAUGGCCAUUAGUACGUACACAAUGUCCUAAGGCCAAAAUAAUGGUAAGUGCAUAUGUAAUGUUAAGAAUGAAAGAGGAUCAAGAGAUGUGGCUAUAUCAAGGAGAAUGAACACGUGACAUAUGUUGUCUGGGAUUGUGGAAUAACACACAUUUGUCACUGC
This 402-nucleotide unclassified non-coding RNA is filed under the name Hevea brasiliensis (rubber tree). The record is from RNAcentral. Lineage: Eukaryota; Viridiplantae; Streptophyta; Magnoliopsida; Malpighiales; Euphorbiaceae.